GUCUACGGCCACACCACCCUGAACGCGCCCGAUCUCGUAUGACUCGGCAGCUAAGCAGGCUCGGGCCUGGUUAGCACCUGGAUGGGAGAACCACUGUGUCAUUUGUCCAGUGCUCUUGAAA
This is a ribosomal RNA of Ochotona princeps (American pika), 121 nucleotides long. The record is from Ensembl. NCBI's taxonomy places the organism in Eukaryota, Metazoa, Chordata, Mammalia, Lagomorpha, Ochotonidae.